RNAcentral lists this ribosomal RNA (496 nucleotides) under uncultured bacterium. RNAcentral describes it as "partial 16S ribosomal RNA". It matches the Rfam family "Bacterial small subunit ribosomal RNA", at positions 29 to 507 of the family's 1533-position model. The record is from RNAcentral.
AUGAACGCUGGCGGCGUGCCUAAUACAUGCAAGUCGAGCGAACAGACGAGGAGCUUGCUCCUCUGACGUUAGCGGCGGACGGGUGAGUAACACGUGGAUAACCUACCUAUAAGACUGGGAUAACUUCGGGAAACCGGAGCUAAUACCGGAUAAUAUAUUGAACCGCAUGGUUCAAUAGUGAAAGACGGUUUUGCUGUCACUUAUAGACGGAUCCGCGCCGCAUUAGCUAGUUGGUAAGGUAACGGCUUACCAAGGCAACGAUGCGUAGCCGACCUGAGAGGGUGAUCGGCCACACUGGAACUGAGACACGGUCCAGACUCCUACGGGAGGCAGCAGUAGGGAAUCUUCCGCAAAGGGCGAAAGCCUGACGGAGCAACGCCGCGUGAGUGAUGAAGGUCUUCGGAUCGUAAAACUCUGUUAUUAGGGAAGAACAAAUGUGUAAGUAACUAUGCACGUCUUGACGGUACCUAAUCAGAAAGCCACGGCUAACUACGUG